UGCAAGUCGAGGGGCAGCGGGGAUAGCAAUAUCUGCCGGCGACCGGCAAACGGGUGCGGAACACGUACGCAACCUUCCCAAAACAGGUGAAUAGCCCUCCGAAAGGAGGAUUAAUACACCGUAAGAUAUGGAUGUGGCAUCACAUUGAUAUUAUAGGUAGCGAUACCGGUUUUGGAUGGGCGUGCGCCUGAUUAGGUAGUUGGUGCGGGUAACGGCCCACCAAGCCUCCGAUCAGUAACUGGUGUGAGAGCACGACCAGUCACACGGGCACUGAGACACGGGCCCGGCUCCUACGGGAGGCAGCAGUAAGGAAUAUUGGUCAAUGGACGAGAGUCUGAACCAGCCAUGCCGCGUGAAGGAUGAAGGCCCUCUGGGUUGUAAACUUCUUUUAUCUGGGACGAAAAAAGGGGAAUCUUCCUCACUUGACGGUACCAGAGGAAUAAGCACCGGCUAACUCCGUGCCAGCAGCCGCGGUAAUACGGAGGGUGCAAGCGUUAUCCGGAUUUACUGGGUUUAAAGGGUGCGUAGGUGGGCAGGAAAGUCAGUGGUGAAAUCUCCGGGCUUAACCCGGAAACUGCCAUUGAUACUAUUUGUCUUGAAUACUUUGGAGGUAAGCGGAAUAUGUCAUGUAGCGGUGAAAUGCUUAGAUAUGACAUAGAACACCAAUUGCGAAGGCAGCUUACUACGCAGUAAUUGACACUGAGGCACGAAAGCGUGGGGAUCAAACAGGAUUAGAUACCCUGGUAGUCCACGCCCUAAACGAUGGAUACUCGACAUUAGCGAUACACAGUUAGUGUCUGAGCGAAAGCAUUAAGUAUCCCACCUGGGAAGUACGAUCGCAAGA
Molecule: ribosomal RNA, 844 nt
Filed under: uncultured Sphingobacteriales bacterium
Lineage: Bacteria; Pseudomonadati; Bacteroidota; Sphingobacteriia; Sphingobacteriales
Description: bacterial SSU rRNA
Rfam family: Bacterial small subunit ribosomal RNA
Source: RNAcentral